CAAAAACACGCAUAACCGCUACGGAAAACAGAUGCACCGUAAAUGAUAAAUGCAGGUUUUGCACUAGCCAGCAUCCUGAUUUAAAAGAGAAUUUUCGUCUUUUAGCCGAUAUGGCCCAAUAGGAAAUGGAGGGGGCAUUCUGUUAUGCACGAUGGAUGAGUAGGGUUUUGCCUCUCAACAAAUCCGCUCUUCACAACCACUCUUCCACUUUCUCAUACCCAUGCCCCCUUUGUCAUUAUUCAAGAUGCUUUUGAUAGAUACAAAGGGAUCUUGUUUAAGCAUGGUGACAUGUUCAAUUUUCUCAACCCUGGACUUUCUCUCUCUAUUAAUGGUGCUGCCUCUACCAUUGUUCGUGAUACUUUUGAUAAAUACAAAGGGAUCUUGUUUAAGCAUGGUGACAUGUUCAAUUUUCUCAACCCUACACUUUCUCUCUCUAGAAAUGGUGUUGCCUCUGCCAUUGUUCGAGAUGCUUUUGAUAGAUACAAAGGGAUCUUGUUUAAGCACGGUGACAGGUUCAGUUUUCUCCGAACACUCAGGCCUGCCUAUGAUGUUUCCCAAAUGAACAUCAUUGUUCUUUCUGAUAUUGAAGAGGUCCAAUUUGACACCAUGGAUUUAUCUGGCAAUGAGAUUGUCAAAUUGGAAAAUGUGCCAUGAUCUUAACCGGUUGGGUACAAAGCUCAUUAGUAACAAUAGGAUUACUAGAAUUAAUCUCAACAUUGGAGGUCUGGUUUGAACUUUGAAAUGCACAUCCUCUUUCCAUUAUUGAUGUCUUUCCUUCUAGUUGUAAGCUACACAAUGUGGAUAUCUAGAUUAUUGUUGCAUUUGUAUUGUAGAAUUUUUGCCAAAACAAGACACUAGUUCUCACAAACAACAGAAUUGUAAACUUGGUAGAAAUUGAUCCGUUAGCAUCCCUUUCAAAGCUGUAGUUACUUGGUCUGUCAGACAACAAUAUUACUAAGAAAGCAAAUUGCAGGCUUUAUGUUAUUAACAAGCUGAAAUCCCUCUCGGUUUUGGAUUUCAAGUAAUUGAAAUAUAAGUUAAUUCGUUACAAAGCAAGUGAUUAUAAUAAAGAUAGAAUAUGGCUCCGACGGACCAGAGCCAACACAGAGAGACGGAGAAAGACAGAAUUUCAUUGAUAUGACAAAAAGAUUUUCAAGUGACCUGGAGAAACAAAGCAGAUUCCGGGCAUCUACAAUGGAAAAACAGAAAUUUUUUUGUGGAUUUAUGAAAAAACAAAAGUUUUCGUAUUGGUCCAAAGCAGGGUCACCUGUAAGAUAUAACAUGGCAUUAUGUUUGGGCCUAAGGUCCAUA
Molecule: RNA transcript, 1311 nt
Organism: Cajanus cajan (pigeon pea)
Lineage: Eukaryota; Viridiplantae; Streptophyta; Magnoliopsida; Fabales; Fabaceae
Source: RefSeq, a predicted model, not a curated record